AAAUAAAGAAAAACUGAUAGUUCAAGGUCUCUUAAUGUUAAAAAAUAAAACUUAAAAGGGUCUAGUUCAAAAUGAUCUAUAGGUGAGGGGUUUCUUUAUUUUUUACUCACUAAUAAUUAGUUCUAGAGAUGUUAUUUUUAAAAUUUAGAAGGGUACUUAUAAAAUUGCCCCUUAAUUAUUUGCUAUCAAAACAACACCUAACAUUUUUAGGGCUAAAUUAGUCAUUUUGUUACUUAACCUUUAUUUAACCAAAUUUUAACCAUGGUUAUAAUAACAGCCGUUAGAAGAAAGGAUAGUUUUGAAAAAUUUUUAUAUUUGAAGGGGUAUAUAUGAUAUUUUCAAUUUUGUAGGGGUAUCUACGAUAUUUACAUAUUUGAGAGGGGUAGCAGUGAAAUUGCCCCUUUAUCUAUAACAUCUAUUAAUCCCCGUGGGAUUCAAGCUCUCUCCUUAUUUU
Molecule: long non-coding RNA, 454 nt
Filed under: Ananas comosus (pineapple)
Lineage: Eukaryota; Viridiplantae; Streptophyta; Magnoliopsida; Poales; Bromeliaceae
Description: long non-coding RNA (ACOM_LNC040882)
Source: RNAcentral